This is a non-coding RNA of Triticum aestivum (bread wheat), 73 nucleotides long. The record is from Rfam. NCBI's taxonomy places the organism in Eukaryota, Viridiplantae, Streptophyta, Magnoliopsida, Poales, Poaceae.
ACUGGAAUAACUUAGUUGGCCAAACUGUGUGGCCCUUAACCACAAGUUGGAGGUUCAAGCCCUCCUUCUAGUG